CUUUUAUUUACUUUCUCCUUCAAAUACCCACUGGGUAAUUUUUUACCCCUCGAGAAGCCUUGGAAAAGCAGUGAUACUGGAUGCAUUCCCUUAUCUUAUCACUUGUCACAUUCAUUAUGCUGAAAUCAUUCAUUUAAGUGUGACUCUCUCUUUUAUUUUCCAUCAGGCGGCAGGUUCCUUGAGAUCCAGGGCCAUGUGUUAUCCGUUUUGAUGUCCCCAGUGUCAGACUUAAUGCCUGGGAACACAAUAGGAAUUCAACCAAUGUGGAGCUGCUGAACUAUUGAACCACCAGAUAGAGCUUUUGAGGGUGACCGAUCGUUAUUGCCUUUAGAAAAGAGAGUCCCUGAGCUGGGGCCACAGGGUUUGCUUGGUAGGCACUGUGUUUGUAGGAGUACAGUCUUAACUGCUGUAACAAAGGGGCUCCAAAGUACAGUGACUUACCAAGAGAGAAGUUGAUCUGUUUCCAUGUCACAGUCUGGAGGUCAGCAGGUCAGGGCUGCUGGGGUAGCUCCACAUCCUUAAUACGUGCUUUCCAUUUCUGUGUCUAAGGAGAUACCCUGGUUCUUCUCCUCUCCUUCCAGCAGUGGAAAGGGGGAAAGGGACUGGGCACAAGGGGUCGAUGAUACUACCAAUUUUUUGAGGGCAAGAUCAGGAUGUGACCCUCAUCACUUCUGCUGGCUUUACCUCGUCACAUGACCACCUCUCAAAAGGGCUCUUUGCUG
This 722-nucleotide long non-coding RNA is filed under the name Homo sapiens (human). RNAcentral's name for it is "HSALNT0273020". Lineage: Eukaryota; Metazoa; Chordata; Mammalia; Primates; Hominidae. The record is from RNAcentral.